Molecule: ribosomal RNA, 274 nt
Filed under: uncultured bacterium
Lineage: Bacteria
Description: partial 16S ribosomal RNA
Rfam family: Bacterial small subunit ribosomal RNA
Source: RNAcentral
AUACGGAGGGUGCAAGCGUUAUUCGGAAUCACUGGGCGUAAAGGACGCGUAGGCGGGUUGGCAAGUCAGAUGAGAAAUCCUACAGCUUGACUGUAGAACUGCAUUUGAAACUGCUAACCUAGAGUAUGGGAGGGGGAGAUGGAAUUAGUGGUGUAGGGGUAAAAUCCGUAGAUAUCACUAGGAAUACCGAAAGCGAAGGCGAUCUCCUGGAACAUAACUGACGCUAAGGCGUGAAAGCGUGGGGAGCAAACAGGAUUAGAAACCCUAGUAGUCC